AACGAACGCUGGCGGCAUGCCUAACACAUGCAAGUCGAACGAGACCUUCGGGUCUAGUGGCGCACGGGUGCGUAACGCGUGGGAAUCUGCCCUUGGGUUCGGAAUAACAGUUGGAAACGACUGCUAAUACCGGAUGAUGACGUAAGUCCAAAGAUUUAUCGCCCAAGGAUGAGCCCGCGUAGGAUUAGCUAGUUGGUGAGGUAAAGGCUCACCAAGGCGACGAUCCUUAGCUGGUCUGAGAGGAUGAUCAGCCACACUGGGACUGAGACACGGCCCAGACUCCUACGGGAGGCAGCAGUGGGGAAUAUUGGACAAUGGGCGAAAGCCUGAUCCAGCAAUGCCGCGUGAGUGAUGAAGGCCUUAGGGUUGUAAAGCUCUUUUACCCGGGAUGACAAUGACAGUACCGGGAGAAUAAGCUCCGGCUAACUCCGUG
This 433-nucleotide ribosomal RNA is filed under the name uncultured bacterium. RNAcentral's name for it is "partial 16S ribosomal RNA". It matches the Rfam family "Bacterial small subunit ribosomal RNA", at positions 29 to 507 of the family's 1533-position model. The record is from RNAcentral.